This 8634-nucleotide long non-coding RNA is filed under the name Triticum aestivum (bread wheat). Its description in RNAcentral is "long non-coding RNA (TAES_LNC024699)". The record is from RNAcentral. Lineage: Eukaryota; Viridiplantae; Streptophyta; Magnoliopsida; Poales; Poaceae.
UGAAACCAGACAUCUUUCAUUUAGCAGGCCACCACAAUCAAGCUCACACAUGGUCCAACAUAUAUUCAUGCUAAAUAACAAGAUAUAAUAGAUGAUGGUCACAAGACAUGAAAGGAUAACGCACCAGUACGUACGUGCGUCAUUUCACACUGAAAAACACAGACAGGUUCCGGUUCAGAAAGGGAGAAAGCCAAAACAAAAGUUCACAGCUAUUAAUCGCGACAAAACGUAUGCACAGGAUAAUUGAGUAAGCGCAUUGUUGGAUCCUCCAGAUUUAAGCACCAAGCUCCUGCUGACCUGACCAUCAGUAAGUAACCUGUCAGGUGAGUUUACUACGUAAGCUUCUAUCACAAUUACAGAGGUGGUACAACUUUUAUAGAAAAACAAACAACCAAUGCACUCACCACCUCACUCCAUGUGUCGGCAUGUGCAAGAGCAACUCCAGAGAAGGUAACGGCCGGGUUCCUGCUACGACCUGCAUACAAGCGUCCAAAGAGUUAGAUUCAAUAGCAUAAGAAGGUAAACUCCCCUCUCGCCUCGCCCCCCUCGCGGGCGACACGGGGGGAUCCAACCUCUGCCGCCAGAGAGUCAUCCCGUGCCCGUCCUCCCCUCCGCUGCAGGUGGUCGGCGACGGGCUAAGCCCGUGCGUGCGACACGGUGGCGGAGGGCCUCUUCCCUCUCCCCCGGAUCCAUGGGUGGCGCGGGCGCCCAGAUCCGCGGAGGUGCGGCCCCCACUUCGGUCCACGGCGACGCCUGUGGUGGUGCCGGUGGGAAUCGGCCGGUUGCACAGGGGGCGCUGGUGGCCGGGGCGGCGACCCCAUGGCUAGGUGGCGGCGUGCCUGUUGGUCCGACUGGUUCCGGCCCGUCCUGGAUCUGGUGACUACCGGACGGCGCGGGGGGUGGCGGCGGCCCGGCGUGGCCGGCGAUCUGGACGCGGUGGUGCCGGCGGCUCUUCGCUGGUUUGCCGGAGUUCCAGGGGUAUCAUCGUCUCUGACUCGUUCUGCUCCGGUUCGUGCUAGUUCCGGUCCAGGGAGACUGUCGUCAUCUCCCGGUGCUAGCUGCAUGGAUCUGGCGGCGGCGACUGGAUCCUUUUGAUCUAGUCUCCGACAGAGAAGGCGGCGAUCCGUGCACAAGAAGCUGGAUGGAGUUCUUCGAACAGAUCUGGGUGAAAACCUGCUCUUGGCUAGAUGCCAAAGCCGGCGGUGGCGGCACUCUGCGGUGUAGUUCCCUUCAUGAAGGCAUCGCCGUGGAGAAGUUCUAGACCACUAUCUGCUACCUCCGGGGGAAACCCUAGAUCGAUAGAUCAGAAGACGGCGGCGCGCUUGUGUCGUUUCCCCCCUUGGGGGCGUCAUUCUUGGAGGUGUACACGGACUCGAGGGACCAGUGGACGACGUCUUUGGUGGAGCGGUGCUUCAUCAUUCACAUUCAUGGUGACAGAUCUCGAUGGCAUGGCACCCUGGAGAUUAGGCGUCUGAUGUGCGAUGAUGGACUCGCGCAGGAGGGUGACGCUGUCUGGCGUCAACGGCAGCUAGACCGGGCAAGGUAGAUGCAGCAGUACAGCUCUGAAGAUGGAUUGGUGGCAGGUGGCGGCGGCGGCCUCUCAGUGUGCGCCGGACCGGUGGGUGUCCCAUACCCGGCAGGCGUCCUGGUUGGGGCCUCAGGUCUUAGAUGUUAGGUUUGGCUGCGAGGUCUGUUUGGUAUUAGGCCCAGACUAUCAGCGUCCCUUCAUCAACUGGAUAGGAGUAGCGACAGAUGUUGCCUAGACGGUGGCUUCUGUUUUACUGUUGUACUAUUACUUUGUAAGGUCGUUUGUGCAUAAUUAAUAAAGUGGCUGCAUGCAUCGUCCAGAUGCAGAGGGCGGGGGUCUUCCUCCUUUUCAAGCAAAGAAAAAUACUUCAGACUCAUAAGAUGAGGAAUUUUUUGUUUCUCGGUCACAGACCUAGCGAUGCAGUGUUAAGGAAUUCUUCGUCUUCAGGGAACAGCUGCAGAUUUUUUGAUUUCAGAAUGUGCUCGACAGCGGUACCGUAGAAGUCCAUAAAGCUACAUAUUUUAACGACCUCCGCAAGCAAAGGGAUAUGCUCUGCUUUCUCGAAGAGCAGCCCUUGGGAUAUCUCAUCUGCAAACUUUGUCGCAAACUCCAACUUUUCCUUGUAGCCUGGUGCACGCUUGCUUUUCUGCAUGUAGAGUUUCGAGCUCUCCCUCCCCCACCGGAGUUUCCGUGUGCCCUUCACAUCAAGAACGUCCCCAGAGGAUAGCUUCACGUUGUAUCCCACCGUGAUUGGCUCGCUGGUCUCUAGCACCAUCACAUCGAGCAGGCAGGAAACAAUCUUGUGCCGCUCUUCAGCAGAAAUGUCGAGAGCAGGAUCGGCAAGAAAAGCAAGGACAAGUUUGAUCAUACCAACAUUGAUCACCUUACAUCGAGCAGCUUUUGUUGGACUGACAUUUUCCAAUGUGAGUGAAUCAUUCUUCCCAACAGCUUUGGAUAUUGCCUGGACUCCAAUGCUACCGUGGAUGUUGUUCAGCUUUGCUCGAGACAUGGAAGGCAGGCUUGAAGAAGGAUACCAGAUGAACAAUGACCGGUUAGGAAGCUUGUCGAACAAAUCCUUGAGAAGUAGAUCAUCGGGAAUAAACACGUCCUCUUUCUUUGACAUAAGGAUAGUUCCGUCGGUGCAAACUGGAACCUUGACAAAAGCAGGAAGAAGCUUUUGUUGGAAUUGAUCUACGGCUGAAACAAAGCGUGAGAGAAAAGGGGGAGCCUUUUGACCCCAGACGUGUAAUGAUCGGAAGCACACCACACAUCCACACGUUUGGUUUUGGUCCGAUGUUCCCAGCACACAUACAUAUAAGGAAAAGGGGGAUUUUCAUUAUGGAAACGGAAUCACGAUCUAAACCCACCUAACUGCUGAUCCUGAAGAUGUGCUGAGGUACUUGAAGGCACCACUGGCCACCCUAAGGCUAUGCCGGUGGCCCCCUGCACGUCCAUCUCCCUGCUGCCCCUUCUUCCCCGGCCAUCUCUUCACUGCCGGUGACCCCAAGGUGCAGCCAUGGGCUACCUCCACGGUCUCAACCAAGUCUGGUCAGUAUCUAUUUUUCACAUCAUGCAUUAGAUCAGUGGCGGAGCUAUGUUGGUUGCUGGGGGGCUGUGGCCCCCUCAACAUUGAACCAACUUGUGAAGGAAAAAAUAUUAUGAUGGCUUAGAUGAAAACUUUGUUAGCUUUUGUAUUCCGCCCCCCCCCCCCUAAGCUGUCCUGUCACAUUUCUCUACCUAAUAAUAAAGAGAAUUGGGUUUCUGCCCGUACGUCAUAAAAACUACCCUCGAAGUUGCCCUAAAUUACCCACUAUGCCAUCUAUAAGUGAAAAAACUGAUUUAGUUUCUUUUUCUUGAAAGCCGCCGCGGGGUUUGAUUAUUACACAAUGGUACCCUAAUAAAACACAAGCAGAAGAGUGCGGCACUGGUCUGUGCUUCAACACAUCAUGUGGGAGUAGGGAUGGCAAUGGGUACCCAUUAUCCGCGUACCCUGUGGGUAAAAACCCUAUUAGGGUAAGGGUAUGGAAGAAAAAAUUACCCAUGGGUACUUAAAUGGGAAAAUAUCAUACCCAUCGGGUAGAGAGGGUACGGGUAUGGGAUCGUAUAACCCAUGCCCACGUACCCAUGUACCCAUCGAAAAUGUUGACAGGUGGGUUUCCGUUAAUAUUCCUAUGUAUUCAUUUCCCCUCCUAAUCACGCUAGGUAAACACUCUAAUGUGUAUUCAAAUUAUCUCUAUAAUUUAUCAUGAUUUCGUGAACUAAAAGUGUAUGCAUAUGUGUUGUUAUUUAUGAUUAUGUGUUGUUGUUUAAUAUUUUUAUAUGUCACUUUAUAGGCAAGUAUUUUUGUUUAUGAGAAUAUGUUGUUGUCACAAUAUGUUGUUGUACAUUGCUGUUUAAAAUGUGUUGCUAUUAAUAAUUUAUGAUUAUAUGUUGCUUUUUACAACUAUUCUACUCAAUUCAUGUGUUGUAAACGCGGUUAUUUGUACCCGCGGGUACCCAUAUACCCUGGCGGGUGACGGGUAUGGGAAAAAAUGUACCCUUAACGGGUAUGGGCAUGGGUGAUGGGUAAACUCAGGGCGGACGGGUAAGGGUAUGGGGUAGCUCCACCCGUACCCAUACCCUGUGGGUGCCAUCCCUAUGUGGGAGACCCGGGUUCGAUCCCUGGUUCACCCCUUUUCUCUUUUUUUUCUGCAAGGGGUCGUCCUUCUCCCGCACAUGUUACAGGUGUGAUGUCUCCAUUCUGUUUUCUUUUCUUUUUUUUUUACUUUUUUUCUUCUUAUUUAUUUUUAUGUUUUUCUCUUUUAAAUUCAACGGAAAAAUUCCAAAUUUUAAAAGGUCGUGAGUUGAAUUUUGUAUAGAAAUCGUAAAAUGUUCACGAAUUCAGAAAAUGGUAGAGAAAUCAUAAAAUAAAUAAGAUUAAGAAACUGUUUGCAUAGUAUAAAAACAUUAUUUCAAAGCAAAUAUUCAUGAUUUUUAAAAGGUGAUCGUGAAUUCAAAACAUAUUUAGCAAUUUGAAAAUUAUGUCCAUAAAAUUUUAAAAAAUGUUUGCAAAAAUUCAAACAGAUACGUAAAUAACGAAAAGACGAACCAUCACUUAAAUAUUUUUUAGGGGAUACAUAGAGGUUGUUUUAUGAUUUUAUUUAGUCCAUGACGCAUCGGUUAAAAAAGGGUUUUUGUGUUCUAUACAAUGCUUGCUCCCAGAAAAAUUGACACAACUUUCUAUGGCGCAAUGCUAGGUCAAGAUGAGACGUAGUUUAUGACAUGACAUUUUAGAAGUCCUUAUCUCAUCCUGACAUAGUCUAAUUGUUUUUCCCCAUUGUAAUGCACGGGCAUAUUUGCUAUAUCUCUACCUAAUAGAGGAUAAGCGGCAACACAAAUAUGAUAUCUCGCGAAAAUAAAGGAGAUGGACCUAUUGUGAUCUUGAGUGAUGGUUGUUGGGUUAAGAGCGUGUGUUAUGUUUUCUCUUCCGUUGCAACGCACGGGCUCUUUUGCUAGUAUCCUUGAAGAUUGUUUCUAACAAUGGUAUCAUGAGCAUGUUUAUGCCUAGAUUAGAUCCCUACUGACCUUCUGUUUACGUUAAUGGUAAUGGUUAAGUCAUAAUGAUUUCAGAUUAAGAUCGAUGGUUAAUGCCUAUAGAUUAAUGCCCUCUGCUAAGUCAAUGAUAUAUGUUCAGGUUAAUUGGUUUCGGUCAAGGCCAAUUGCUAUGGGUUAAUGCUAUUAGACAGAACGUCCAAUAUAUUCUGUUAGAUUAAUUGAGCCAAGCUUCCGCAUCGAGUUAAUGAUACAAUUAGCACGUUACAAUCCCCGGUUUAGCAAUUAGGAGGUGAUUUGACAAACUAAUGAAAAUCCCCAAAGUUCCAAAUUCACCAAAACCCUACCCUAGAAAAUUCCCCAAUUUGCAAAUCCAAAGCGCCAAAUGUUGAAAUUGAAGAAAAGAGGGACUGGUACUGUUGUUAAUGGCGGCCGCAGUGCGUGCUCGUCAUGGCCGGAACGACGCCGUCCUUCGGGACGACGACCAGUGUGAAGCGCGCCGCCGCUCGCCGCUCUAAUGGACGCGCACGUCGGCAGGGUUCCGCGCCUUGCACGUCGCCGUCACAUCCAAAAGAUUGCGCCGGCAAUUGCGCUCGUCUCCCCAUCGUCGCUGUCUGGGCCAUAUUGCGUCCCGAGUGGCCACGCUCGGCAGAGGAGCGCGCGGCACUCCGUCCGCUGCGGACCCCUGUUUUGUUCCGCUGGGUCUCGAUCUGGUCCGUCAAUCCGAUCGGACGGGUGACAGCGACAAGUUGCAAAUAAUGGGCCUCGGUUUGUUAAAUGGGCCAAACCUGGCAGUGGGCAGGUUGGUACCUCCUAUCUGCCACAUUCUGCGGCAGACUUGCAGGCGAGAGCUCCUAUGCGCCGAAUUGUCGAGCGGACGCACAGGCGUGUCUCCAGCUGGGCCAGCCCAUUAGCGCAAGGCGGUGAAUAAAUCCCAAAAUACUACGCUCGAGCGAGGGAUUGAACCAGGGACCUCCAUCUUUGUACGCAUGAGCCUAGCCAACGCGAUAGACAAGCUUUCUUGGUUUGCCAUGGCGCGCGAAGCUAACAGAUAAUGUAGAUCGGAACAUUUCUCAAAUUCCUAACGCGGAAAUUAUUUUGAAAAAGUGUUUUUUAAAAAAAGUGAACACUUUCCAAAUUUUAAAGAGAAAAACUAAAAAUCUUGUACAAAGUUUUGAUAAAAUGAACACUUUUUAAAAUCCCGAACAUUUUUUGAAUUUAGAGAACAAAAUUUGAACAUGAACAUUUUUUAAAGCACAAACAUUUUUUUAAUCUUGAGAACAAAUUUGGAAGCGCGGAUUUUUUUAAAGCAUCAACAUGUUUUUUGAAUCUUGAGAACAAAUUUGGAAGCGCGAACAAUUUCUUAAAGCACGAACAUUUUUUUAAUAUUGAGAAAAAAAUUUGAAACAGAGAACCAAUUUGAAAAAUCCCGAACAAAUUUGGAAGGGUGAACAUUUUUUGAAAAUGGGAACAAAAAAAUUAAAGUCUGGUACAUUAUAUUAAUUUCGAAAGUUUUAAACUUUUUUUGUAACGAGAACAAUUUUUGAAUUUUGAGAACAUUUUUAGAAAAAACUGAACAUUUUAUGGAAAGGCAACCAAAAUUUGAAUAUUUUGAAAAAUAGAGAGAAAAGAAAAAGAAAUAAGAGACCAAAGAAAGAAAACAAACAGAAAAAACGAAAAAAGAAGAAAUGAAAAAAGAAACAGAAAGGAAUUUGAAAAUCUGAAGAACAAAAAGGAAAUAGAAAGAGAAGAAAAAGGAAUUGAAAAUGAACUAAAGAAACAGAAAAACAAAGAAAGAAAAAAAAGAAACAGAAAAAGAAAAAGAAAAACUGUGAAAAACUGGUUCAAGAACCUUCUGGAAGGUUCUCAAAACCGGUCAGGAACCUUCCAGAAAGUACCCAAAACCAGAUACUAUAGCGCGUGUACUAUCUCGUAGUUGGGCCGGGCCAUCUUGAUUGCUAGGUCGCUCGCCUCUGUGGGUUCGCUCGACUUUCUGCCGCAAUGAUCGUCCGUUAGGAUAUUCCCUUACGGGGAGUUCCUAUGGAUCGCAUUCUGCGCUGCUUGAAAGCAUAUGACUCUAACCAGUUGACCUAGUGACAUUUCUUCAUUACAAUACACCGAUCCGUUAAAAAAUUCAAACCCAAAACUUGUUUUUUCAAAAAAAAACAUGAAUGUUUUAUCAAACGGGAACAUUUUUUCAAUUUUUUAAGAAUUUUGAGAAAACUUAAACAUUUUUCAUCACGCAAAAUAAUUUUGGAGAAGCGAACAUUUUCAAAAUGGAACAUGUUUUAAACUGCCAAAAAAACUGAACAGGAAUUUUUUUUCAAAAAUAGGAACAUUUUUCAAAUUCCAAAACAAAAUUUGGAAACACGAAUAAAUUUUGAACGCGCACAAAUUUUUAAUUUCCCAAACAUUUUUUUGAAAACAUGAAGGUUUUGGAAUAAUUUUUUAAAGAACGAACUUUUUUGAAUCUUGAGAACAAAUUUUGAAACGGAGAACAAAUUUUGAAGCGCGGACAAAUUUUUAAAACACUAACAUUUUUUGAAUUUUAAGAACAAAUUUUCAAAUGGAGAACAAUUUAAAAAAUUCCUGAACAAAUUUGGAUGCGUGAUGUUUUUUAAUACGUGAACAAAAAAUUGAAAUCCGGUACAUUUUCUGAAUUUCGAAAGUUGUGAACUUUUUUGUGUAAUGACAACAAUUUUUUGAAAACUGAACAUUUUUUUAAAACAUGGACGUUUUGGGAUUUGUGAACAAUUUUUUAGAGCAGAAACAUUUUUUGAAUCUUGAGAACGAAUUUCAAAAAGGAGAACAAAAUUUUAAUGCACGAACAUUUUUUGAAUCUUGAGAACAAAUUUUGAAAAGGAGAACAAUUUUGGAAAAUCCCUAACAAAUUUGGAAGCAUGAUUUUUUUUUGGAAUAAAUGAACAAAAAAUUGAAAUCCGGUACAUUUUCUGAAUUUCAAAAGUUGCUGAACUUUUUUGUGUAAUGAGAACAUUUUUUCAAAAACUGAACAUUUUGUUGGAAACAUGAAUAAAACUUGAAUAUUUUGAAAAAAGUUUGAAAAAAAGAGAAGGGAAGCAAAAGAAACAAAAACCAAAGAAAAAAUUGUUGAGAAGAGAAAUUAACUUGAAAAGGAAAACUGGAAGAAAACAAAAGAAGUAACGAAAAGAAAAGAAAAAAGAACCAGAAAAAGGAAGAAGAAAAACAAAUAGAAAGGCUAAAAAAGAAAAAUAAAAGGAAAAAUAAAAAACCGGUUCAGGAACCUUCUAGAUAGUUCCCAAAACCAGUAAGAACCGGCUGGGAACGCUCUAGAAGGUUCCCGAAACCAGAACCUGUAAGUACGCUAAAGAUGGGCCGGCCCAAAUCGCUCGCUAGUGGGCAUCCCUUGUGCGAUUCGUCAACAGUUUGACGCAAUAUGCGUCAAAUAGGAUUUUCCCACUGGCGGCGCUUCGCACAAGGGUGCCAAACUAACGGCCCGCCUAGGCAAUGAACCCCGUGAUGCGAAAAAAAAGGAAGAACGACGCGCCCUAGGUUCGAAAUCUUCGUGGCUAAUAAUUACCUGCCUCAACCAGUGG